Molecule: ribosomal RNA, 468 nt
Filed under: uncultured bacterium
Lineage: Bacteria
Description: partial 16S ribosomal RNA
Rfam family: Bacterial small subunit ribosomal RNA
Source: RNAcentral
GACGAACGCUGGCGGCGUGCUUAACACAUGCAAGUCGAACGGAAAGGCCCUGCUUUUGUGGGGUGCUCGAGUGGCGAACGGGUGAGUAACACGUGAGUAACCUGCCCUUGACUUUGGGAUAACUUCAGGAAACUGGGGCUAAUACCGGAUAGGAGCUCCUGCUGCAUGGUGGGGGUUGGAAAGUUUCGGCGGUUGGGGAUGGACUCGCGGCUUAUCAGCUUGUUGGUGGGGUAGUGGCUUACCAAGGCUUUGACGGGUAGCCGGCCUGAGAGGGUGACCGGACACAUUGGGACUGAGAUACGCCCCAGACUCCUACGGGAGGCAGCAGUGGGGAAUAUUGCACAAUGGGCGGAAGCCUGAUGCAGCAACGCCGCGUGCGGGAUGACGGCCUUCGGGUUGUAAACCGCUUUCGCCUGUGACGAAGCGUGAGUGACGGUAAUGGGUAAAGAAGCGCCGGCUAACUACGUG